UACGGGGGGGGCAAGCGUUAUCCGGAAUUAUUGGGCGUAAAGAGCUCGUAGGCGGUUUGGCGCGUCUGCCGUGAAAGUCCGGGGCUCAACUCCGGAUCUGCGGUGGGUACGGGCAGACUAGAGUGAUGUAGGGGAGACUGGAAUUCCUGGUGUAGCGGUGAAAUGCGCAGAUAUCAGGAGGAACACCGAUGGCGAAGGCAGGUCUCUGGGCAUUAACUGACGCUGAGGAGCGAAAGCAUGGGGAGCGAACAGG
Molecule: ribosomal RNA, 253 nt
Filed under: uncultured bacterium
Lineage: Bacteria
Description: partial 16S ribosomal RNA
Rfam family: Bacterial small subunit ribosomal RNA
Source: RNAcentral